This 71-nucleotide transfer RNA is filed under the name Marmota monax (woodchuck). RNAcentral describes it as "tRNA.Ala". The stretch from base 6 to 66 matches the Rfam family "tRNA", at positions 6 to 65 of the family's 71-position model. From Rfam's summary of the family: Transfer RNA (tRNA) molecules are approximately 80 nucleotides in length. Their secondary structure includes four short double-helical elements and three loops (D, anti-codon, and T loops). Lineage: Eukaryota; Metazoa; Chordata; Mammalia; Rodentia; Sciuridae. The record is from RNAcentral.
GAAGAUGUAAUUCAGUGGUAGAACGCUUGCCUAGCACGCAUGAGGCACUGGGUUCGAGCCUCAGCACCACA